GGAGAGUACCCGGAGAAAAAGCAUCGGCUAACUCCGUGCCAGCAGCCGCGGUAAUACGGAGGAUGCGAGCGUUAUCCGGAUUUAUUGGGUUUAAAGGGUGCGUAGGCGGGCAUUUAAGCCGGCGGUCAAAUGUCGGGGCUCAACCCCGGCCUGCCGUCGGAACUGGGUGCCUUGAGUGGGCGAGAAGUAUGCGGAAUGCGUGGUGUAGCGGUGAAAUGCAUAGAUAUCACGCAGAACCCCGAUUGCGAAGGCAGCAUACCGGCGCCCUACUGACGCUGAGGCACGAAAGUGCGGGUAUCGAACAGGAUUAGAUACCCUGGUAGUCCGCACAGUAAACGAUGGAUGCUAUCUGUCCGGGCCGAAUGAGGCCUGG
RNAcentral lists this ribosomal RNA (373 nucleotides) under uncultured bacterium. RNAcentral describes it as "bacterial SSU rRNA". It matches the Rfam family "Bacterial small subunit ribosomal RNA", at positions 470 to 842 of the family's 1533-position model. The record is from RNAcentral.